GACGAACGCUGGCGGCGUGCUUAACACAUGCAAGUCGAACGAUGAACCCGGAGCUUGCUCCGGCGGAUUAGUGGCGAACGGGUGAGUAACACGUGAGUAACCUGCCCUUGACUCUGGGAUAACUGCUAGAAAUGGUAGCUAAUACCGGAUACGACCCUCGGUGGCAUCACCAGGGGGUGGAAAGAAUUUCGGUCAAGGAUGGACUCGCGGCCUAUCAGCUAGUUGGUGAGGUAACGGCUCACCAAGGCGACGACGGGUAGCCGGCCUGAGAGGGUGACCGGCCACACUGGGACUGAGACACGGCCCAGACUCCUACGGGAGGCAGCAGUCGGGAAUUUUGCACAAUGGCCGAAAGGCUGAUGCAGCGACGCCGCGUGAAGGAAGAAGGCUUUCGGGUUGUAAACUUCUUUUUAUCAAGAGGCCCCGCAAGGGGAUACAGUAUUGGUAGAAUAAGUCACGGCUAACUACGUGCCAGCCGCCGCAGUAA
This 487-nucleotide ribosomal RNA is filed under the name uncultured bacterium. RNAcentral's name for it is "partial 16S ribosomal RNA". It matches the Rfam family "Bacterial small subunit ribosomal RNA", at positions 28 to 523 of the family's 1533-position model. The record is from RNAcentral.